GUGAGGAAUAUUGGACAAUGGGCGCAAGCCUGAUCCAGCCAUGCCGCGUGCAGGAAGACGCAUCUAUGGUGUGUAAACUGCUUUUGUACGGGAAGAAACACUCCCUCGUGAGGGAGCUUGACGGUACCGUAAGAAUAAGGAUCGGCUAACUCCGUGCCAGCAGCCGCGGUAAUACGGAGGAUCCAAGCGUUAUCCGGAAUCAUUGGGUUUAAAGGGUCCGUAGGCGGUUUAAUAAGUCAGUGGUGAAAGCCCAUCGCUCAACGAUGGAACGGCCAUUGAUACUGUUAGACUUGAAUUACAAGGAAGUAACUAGAAUAUGUAGUGUAGCGGUGAAAUGCUUAGAUAUUACAUGGAAUACCAAUUGCGAAGGCAGGUUACUACUUGUGGAUUGACGCUGAUGGACGAAAGCGUGGGGAGCGAACAGGAUUAGAAAACCUUGUAGUCC
This 445-nucleotide ribosomal RNA is filed under the name uncultured bacterium. RNAcentral describes it as "partial 16S ribosomal RNA". It matches the Rfam family "Bacterial small subunit ribosomal RNA", at positions 354 to 796 of the family's 1533-position model. The record is from RNAcentral.